This 491-nucleotide ribosomal RNA is filed under the name uncultured bacterium. RNAcentral's name for it is "partial 16S ribosomal RNA". It matches the Rfam family "Bacterial small subunit ribosomal RNA", at positions 28 to 507 of the family's 1533-position model. The record is from RNAcentral.
GAUGAACGCUGUCUACAGGCUUAACACAUGCAAGUCGAGGGGAAACGACGGGGAAGCUUGCUUCCCCGGGCGUCGACCGGCGCACGGGUGAGUAACGCGUAUCCAACCUGCCUCUGACUGAGGGAUAACCCGUCGAAAGUCGGCCUAAUACCUCAUGGCAUCGUCUGCGGGCAUCCAACGACGAUUAAAGAUUUCAUCGGUCAGGGAUGGGGAUGCGUCUGAUUAGCUUGUUGGCGGGGUAACGGCCCACCAAGGCUACGAUCAGUAGGGGUUCUGAGAGGAAGGUCCCCCACGUUGGAACUGAGACACGGUCCAAACUCCUACGGGAGGCAGCAGUGAGGAAUAUUGGUCAAUGGGCGGGAGCCUGAACCAGCCAAGUAGCGUGCAGGAUGACGGCCCUAUGGGUUGUAAACUGCUUUUAUGCGGGGAUAAAGUGAGGGACGUGUCCUUCAUUGCAGGUACCGCAUGAAUAAGGACCGGCUAAUUCCGUG